Molecule: long non-coding RNA, 1309 nt
Organism: Dermacentor andersoni
Lineage: Eukaryota; Metazoa; Arthropoda; Arachnida; Ixodida; Ixodidae
Source: RefSeq, a predicted model, not a curated record
GGUACGGAGAGAGUUAAGCACGGAACACAUCACUGGCAAAAAGUGUUUAGAGCGCAGCUCUUAGCAGCCGUUCCUUCGUUGAGCGUCGGCGUCAUACCAUAGGUGUUCUGUGGUCAUACCUCGGCCAACCCCCGGAAGGCGAGUGCUAGUUUCGAUUUUGAGGAACAUGCGCACUCCAAGCGGUUGCCGGACAUGCUAACUUAUUUUUUUAUUUUUAUUUUUGGAAAUUUUAAAUAGGGCGAAGCGUGGGAGGUGGUUGUCAUCGUGCGUCUGUCGAGCGCGUACCUCCGCUCACCCUUGCCACUCGCUCAGAGAUAUCGCAAGUCGAAUCGCGCUUGAUCAUCUGCUUCGGUUGUCGUCCCAAGUAUGAAGAUGGGAAAGAUAAGACAGAGAAGCUUGAUCAGGCGUGCAACGAACGGAAAACGCAGGAAACCAGGUCAACCAUGCAUUAGACGAAGAGGGCUAAAACGGGGCGUCACAUGUGUUGCGCGGCUCUGUGGUGUUCUAACACCGGGAAUUCCAGUUCUGCGAAGUUUUUAAGCUUUCCUAAUGACAGCAGGUAACAGCAGGGGACCCAGCCUUCCUGAGAGAUGCCUGUUCGACUCGAUCUGGUCCGGACGCGCCACCUGCAUAAAGAAGUCGCCUGUUGGCUGCACAUCCAUGUGAAGAAAUUGAUGAGAAGGAGAAAGAAGAUAAGAAACGCUGAAGGAGAGGGGACGACUGUGCGUGCCAUAGCAGCCGGUGGUGUGUCUGAAGUUCGUUUUCUUUGAAGGGAGGAGCGCAGAAGCAUGAAGUGUUGACGAAGACUUGGACCAAUGAAGUGCACCUGCAGAUGCUUUACAACCUCAAGGGCUGUCUUAAAGGACGCUUUAAACACAAGUUAUGACAGGCGCCUUCUGCUGCUGGACGUCCUUAGACCAUAGCACUGUGCUGCCUGUGCGUUGAGCUCAGUAAGGGCACUUCUGGUAUUCUUGAGUGAUACAGGCUUCGGUACGACUCUCUAAAUUACGUAGGAUUCGAGUGUUAAUGUGUGUGUUUAAAUGUAGGUCCGCGUAUGUCUUUCUUUUUUCUUUACUUUUCUUCUACUUUCUAGCUUUCAUCCCUCAAAUUAUACUACACGUUGAGUAGUAUUACAAGCUUUCGGAUUGAACUGCACCCUUUUCUCUUAGCCGUUUCCGCCUUUUCUCAUAGUUCUUGUCUCAUAGUGAUAGAGCAACAAACUAUAAACGUACAUCUGUCUCGGCGGACCUAUCGUUUUCAGUUGAGGUAUCAAAGGAGGCCUACAAUAAAACGUUUUCAAUCGCCUGCA